AUGGAUAGUGUGGAAGAUCGACCCUCCUUGGUUGCUGAGGAGAAGGACAAGCAGCCUGCUCCCUUCAGUGACGCUCCAUCUCCAGUGCGCGCCGUGCUCAACCGUCCAUGGCCAUCCCCUAUCGUGAUCCCGCCGGAGGCUAAUCCGUCCCGCAAGUACCGCACUCUGGUGGCCACCGCCGACGACAUUGGGGACCCGAUCUCGCCGGAGGAGAUAGCCGCGCUGGAGGACAAGAAGGACGACGAUGCGGGCACACGGUUCUACAAGGCAGCUGCUCGGGCCGACGUCGUUAUGAGGAAUUACAUCCAUGAACACGGCAGCCUGUACAUGGAUGAGAACUGCAAGUACAUGAUCGACAAUUCUGCCCAAGUUGAGGAAAUACGUUGCAAGCAUGUUACAGCAGAAGAAAUGGAAGCGAAGAUAAUCAAGCAAGAGGUCACUAGGAAGCAAACAUAUUUAUCAGAACUGGCUUUAGCGAGUUUCAAUAAGAGAAAAAAGGUGAAGUUUGAGUUGUGUGGUACAUUGCUUUCUAGGCUCUUUUACGAGAGCAGCUGUAUUUUUAUGCACCUAAAUUUCGUCGCCAAGCGCAAGGAUAAGAAGAAACUCUUUUUCGCCGAGAUAGAGGACUGUGGACGGGGUCGUGAAGAGAUCUUGAAAGUACGCUGUUGCGUUCCCCUGGAUUCAUUAUGUGAAGGUGGUUAUUAUUAC
RNAcentral lists this ribosomal RNA (708 nucleotides) under Triticum aestivum (bread wheat). Its description in RNAcentral is "partial small subunit ribosomal RNA". The record is from RNAcentral. Lineage: Eukaryota; Viridiplantae; Streptophyta; Magnoliopsida; Poales; Poaceae.